GUGGAGAGAAGGAGAGGUGGAGAUGGAGAGGAGGAGCGCGCGUCUGCAGGCGAGUGGCACAGCGACGUCUCCAAUUAUUACGCGCUGCGCAUGAGGAGGACGCGCGGAGCUGCGGAGGGUUUGUCCACUCGCGGUUCCACUGCUGCGCCCCCGCUCGGAGCUUUACGGUAGUGGUGCUGAUGCGGGAUGAGUCAGGCGAUGUGAUGAUGAUGAUGAUGAUGCUGCCGCUGCCAUUUCAUCAGCAGCUCGAGCCCACAGAGCGCAGACGGACGGACGCGACACCGCGGGGUUCCCCUCCCGUCCUGCCGUCGUAGAGCUCCAUCCAUCCGGCCGGUAGGAAGCGCACAUCCUCGGGGGCGUUGUUCUGUUGGCACCUGCUCCGGGAGCGGCUCUUCUCCUCCGCCUCGACCGGGCCUGACGCGGCCCUGAGUCCGGGGCCUUCACACCCGAGCUCCUGAUCCGCGGUCAUCGCCGCGUCACGACGCACAUCGAGUCCCGCGGAGGCCUCGUGUUUCCUCCCGGAUCGACCCGGCUCGUCCGACCCGUCGGUGCCACGAUGGAGCCCGCGUCCGGCCGGUCCUGGGCCUAGAGAGUCCGCUCCUCCUCCUCCAGCACCGACAGGCAGACAGACAGACAGACAGACAGACAGACAGACAGACCCACCGAC
Scophthalmus maximus (turbot) is the source of this 667-nucleotide long non-coding RNA. RefSeq lists it as uncharacterized. The record is from RefSeq and is a predicted model, not a curated record. The transcript has 3 exons. Lineage: Eukaryota; Metazoa; Chordata; Actinopteri; Pleuronectiformes; Scophthalmidae.